RNAcentral lists this ribosomal RNA (301 nucleotides) under uncultured bacterium. RNAcentral describes it as "partial 16S ribosomal RNA". It matches the Rfam family "Bacterial small subunit ribosomal RNA", at positions 509 to 808 of the family's 1533-position model. The record is from RNAcentral.
CAGUCGCCGCGGUAAUACGUAGGUCCCGAGCGUUGUCCGGAUUUAUUGGGCGUGAAGCGAGCGCAGGCGGUUAGAUAAGCCUGAAGUUAAAGGCUGUGGCUUAACCAUAGUACGCUUUGGAAACUGUUUAACUUGAGUGCAAGAGGGGAGAUUGGAAUUCCAUGUGUAGCGGUGAAAUGCGUAGAUAUAUGGAGGAACACCGGUGGCGAGAGCGGCUCUCUGGCUUGUAACUGACGCUGAGGCUCGAAAGCGUGGGGAGCAAACAGGAUUAGAUACCCGUGUAGUCCCUGUCUCUUAUACC